RNAcentral lists this ribosomal RNA (310 nucleotides) under uncultured bacterium. RNAcentral's name for it is "partial 16S ribosomal RNA". It matches the Rfam family "Bacterial small subunit ribosomal RNA", at positions 503 to 807 of the family's 1533-position model. The record is from RNAcentral.
AAGAGACAGCAGCAGCCGCGGUAAUACGGAGGGUGCAAGCGUUAAUCGGAAUUACUGGGCGUAAAGCGCACGCAGGCGGUCUGACAAGUCAGAUGUGAAAUCCCCGGGCUUAACCUGGGAACUGCAUUUGAAACUGUCAGGCUGGAGUCUUGUAGAGGGGGGUGGAAUUCCAGGUGUAGCGGUGAAAUGCGUAGAGAUCUGGAGGAAUACCGGUGGCGAAGGCGGCCCCCUGGACAAAGACUGACGCUCAGGUGCGAAAGCGUGGGGAGCAAACAGGAUUAGAGACUCGUGUAGUCCCUGUCUCUUAUAC